This 73-nucleotide transfer RNA is filed under the name Ailuropoda melanoleuca (giant panda). RNAcentral describes it as "tRNA-Glu (CTC) (tRNA-Glu-CTC-5-1)". It matches the Rfam family "tRNA". Rfam says of the family: Transfer RNA (tRNA) molecules are approximately 80 nucleotides in length. Their secondary structure includes four short double-helical elements and three loops (D, anti-codon, and T loops). Further hydrogen bonds mediate the characteristic L-shaped molecular structure. tRNAs have two regions of fundamental functional importance: the anti-codon, which is responsible for specific mRNA codon recognition, and the 3' end, to which the tRNAs corresponding amino acid is attached (by aminoacyl-tRNA synthetases). tRNAs cope with the degeneracy of the genetic code in two manners: having more than one tRNA (with a specific anti-codon) for a particular amino acid; and 'wobble' base-pairing, i.e. permitting non-standard base-pairing at the 3rd anti-codon position. The record is from RNAcentral. Lineage: Eukaryota; Metazoa; Chordata; Mammalia; Carnivora; Ursidae.
GCCUGGCUGGCUCAGUCAGUGGAGCAUGUGACUCUCGAUCUCAGGGUCAUGAGUUCAAGCCCCAUGUCGGGUG